GGGGGGGGGGCAAGCGUUGUUCGGAAUUACUGGGCGUAAAGGGCGCGCAGGCGGCCUGACAAGUCCCUCGUGAAAUCCCACAGCUCAACUGUGGAACUGCGGGGGAUACUGCCGGGCUUGAGUCCGGGAGAGGAGAGUGGAAUUCCCAGUGUAGCGGUGAAAUGCGUAGAUAUUGGGAGGAACACCGGUGGCGAAGGCGGCUCUCUGGACCGGUACUGACGCUGAGGCGCGAAAGCUAGGGGAGCAAACGGGAUUAGAUACCCCGGUAGUCCUAGCUGUAAACGUUGAGCACUUGGUGUGGCGGGUAUCGACCCCUGCCGUGCCGAAGCUAACGCAUUAAGUGCUCCGCCUGGGGAGUACGGUCGCAAAGGCUG
This 374-nucleotide ribosomal RNA is filed under the name uncultured organism. RNAcentral's name for it is "partial 16S ribosomal RNA". It matches the Rfam family "Bacterial small subunit ribosomal RNA", at positions 525 to 896 of the family's 1533-position model. The record is from RNAcentral.